Molecule: long non-coding RNA, 303 nt
Filed under: Pan troglodytes (chimpanzee)
Lineage: Eukaryota; Metazoa; Chordata; Mammalia; Primates; Hominidae
Description: lincRNA
Source: RNAcentral
CCGCGAAUGUCUAAGGUUGGCUGGCCAGCAGAGUUUGGACGGUCGAACACACUUUUUGGCUCUGCCUCUGCACGGUGGCCAGUUUCACAAAGAGGCUGCAGGAAGCUGCUUCCAGCAGGCUGAGUCCUGAGGAGGAGAGGAUAACAGUGGGAGAAGCACCUGGUAACAGCGGCACUUCAUCCAGGAAGAAAACAGGAUCUAAAAUAUAAACAACAUCCUUACAACACAAAAUAUGAGCGUCUAUCAUGGACCAACCAAUAACUGCAAUAAAAGUGUGAUAAAUGCUGUAUCCCCUGGCAGAUG